RNAcentral lists this unclassified non-coding RNA (208 nucleotides) under fungal sp. RNAcentral describes it as "partial internal transcribed spacer region". The stretch from base 1 to 46 matches the Rfam family "Eukaryotic small subunit ribosomal RNA", at positions 1786 to 1831 of the family's 1831-position model. The record is from RNAcentral. Lineage: Eukaryota; Fungi.
AAGUCGUAACAAGGUCUCCGUAGGUGAACCUGCGGAGGGAUCAUUACUGAGUUACACUCAAACCCUGUUUAAGAAUCUGUUGCUUCGGAGGCGCCCCUCGGGAGGGGAUCUGCUUCGGCCGCCUCCAAAAGCACUUUUACUCUUCAACUUUGUCUUCAAUUUGAAUAAAAAAGAAAUUAAAACCUCAACAACGGAUCUCUUGGUUACA